Molecule: ribosomal RNA, 2892 nt
Filed under: Pseudomonas syringae UB303
Lineage: Bacteria; Pseudomonadati; Pseudomonadota; Gammaproteobacteria; Pseudomonadales; Pseudomonadaceae
Description: bacterial LSU rRNA
Rfam family: Bacterial large subunit ribosomal RNA
Source: RNAcentral
UCAAGUGAAGAAGCGCAUACGGUGGAUGCCUUGGCAGUCAGAGGCGAUGAAAGACGUGGUAGCCUGCGAAAAGCUUCGGGGAGUCGGCAAACAGACUGUGAUCCGGAGAUGUCUGAAUGGGGGAACCCAGCCAUCAUAAGAUGGUUAUCUUGUACUGAAUACAUAGGUGCAAGAGGCGAACCAGGGGAACUGAAACAUCUAAGUACCCUGAGGAAAAGAAAUCAACCGAGAUUCCCUUAGUAGUGGCGAGCGAACGGGGACCAGCCCUUAAGUUGUAUUGAGAUUAGCGGAACGUUCUGGAAAGGACGGCCAUAGUGGGUGAUAGCCCUGUACGCGAAAAUCCCUUUGCAAUGAAAUCGAGUAGGACGGGGCACGAGAAACCUUGUCUGAAUAUGGGGGGACCAUCCUCCAAGGCUAAAUACUACUGACUGACCGAUAGUGAACCAGUACCGUGAGGGAAAGGCGAAAAGAACCGCGGAGAGCGGAGUGAAAUAGAUCCUGAAACCGUAUGCGUACAAGCAGUGGGAGCCCACUUUGUUGGGUGACUGCGUACCUUUUGUAUAAUGGGUCAGCGACUUAUUUUCAGUGGCGAGCUUAACCGAAUAGGGGAGGCGUAGCGAAAGCGAGUCUUAAUAGGGCGUCUAGUCGCUGGGAAUAGACCCGAAACCGGGCGAUCUAUCCAUGGGCAGGUUGAAGGUUGGGUAACACUAACUGGAGGACCGAACCGACUACCGUUGAAAAGUUAGCGGAUGACCUGUGGAUCGGAGUGAAAGGCUAAUCAAGCUCGGAGAUAGCUGGUUCUCCUCGAAAGCUAUUUAGGUAGCGCCUCAUGUAUCACUGUAGGGGGUAGAGCACUGUUUCGGCUAGGGGGUCAUCCCGACUUACCAAACCGAUGCAAACUCCGAAUACCUACAAGUGCCGAGCAUGGGAGACACACGGCGGGUGCUAACGUCCGUCGUGAAAAGGGAAACAACCCAGACCGUCAGCUAAGGUCCCAAAGUCAUGGUUAAGUGGGAAACGAUGUGGGAAGGCUUAGACAGCUAGGAGGUUGGCUUAGAAGCAGCCACCCUUUAAAGAAAGCGUAAUAGCUCACUAGUCGAGUCGGCCUGCGCGGAAGAUGUAACGGGGCUCAAACCAUGCACCGAAGCUACGGGUAUCAUCUUUUGAUGAUGCGGUAGAGGAGCGUUCUGUAAGCCUGUGAAGGUGAGUUGAGAAGCUUGCUGGAGGUAUCAGAAGUGCGAAUGCUGACAUGAGUAACGACAAUGGGUGUGAAAAACACCCACGCCGAAAGACCAAGGUUUCCUGCGCAACGUUAAUCGACGCAGGGUUAGUCGGUCCCUAAGGCGAGGCUGAAAAGCGUAGUCGAUGGAAAACAGGUUAAUAUUCCUGUACUUCUGGUUAUUGCGAUGGAGGGACGGAGAAGGCUAGGCCAGCCUGGCGUUGGUUGUCCAGGUUUAAGGUGGUAGGCUGAGAUCUUAGGUAAAUCCGGGAUCUUAAGGCCGAGAGCUGAUGACGAGUGCUCUUUUAGAACACGAAGUGGUUGAUGCCAUGCUUCCAAGAAAAGCUUCUAAGCUUCAGGUAACCAGGAACCGUACCCCAAACCGACACAGGUGGUUGGGUAGAGAAUACCAAGGCGCUUGAGAGAACUCGGGUGAAGGAACUAGGCAAAAUGGCACCGUAACUUCGGGAGAAGGUGCGCCGGUGGAGGUGAAGCAUUUACUGCGUAAGCCCCUGCCGGUCGAAGAUACCAGGCCGCUGCGACUGUUUAUUAAAAACACAGCACUCUGCAAACACGAAAGUGGACGUAUAGGGUGUGACGCCUGCCCGGUGCCGGAAGGUUAAUUGAUGGGGUUAGCGCAAGCGAAGCUCUUGAUCGAAGCCCCGGUAAACGGCGGCCGUAACUAUAACGGUCCUAAGGUAGCGAAAUUCCUUGUCGGGUAAGUUCCGACCUGCACGAAUGGCGUAACGAUGGCGGCGCUGUCUCCACCCGAGACUCAGUGAAAUUGAAAUCGCUGUGAAGAUGCAGUGUAUCCGCGGCUAGACGGAAAGACCCCGUGAACCUUUACUAUAGCUUUGCACUGGACUUUGAAUUUGCUUGUGUAGGAUAGGUGGGAGGCUUUGAAGCGUGGACGCCAGUCUGCGUGGAGCCAACCUUGAAAUACCACCCUGGCAACUUUGAGGUUCUAACUCAGGUCCGUUAUCCGGAUCGAGGACAGUGUAUGGUGGGUAGUUUGACUGGGGCGGUCUCCUCCUAAAGAGUAACGGAGGAGUACGAAGGUGCGCUCAGACCGGUCGGAAAUCGGUCGUAGAGUAUAAAGGCAAAAGCGCGCUUGACUGCGAGACAGACACGUCGAGCAGGUACGAAAGUAGGUCUUAGUGAUCCGGUGGUUCUGUAUGGAAGGGCCAUCGCUCAACGGAUAAAAGGUACUCCGGGGAUAACAGGCUGAUACCGCCCAAGAGUUCAUAUCGACGGCGGUGUUUGGCACCUCGAUGUCGGCUCAUCACAUCCUGGGGCUGAAGCCGGUCCCAAGGGUAUGGCUGUUCGCCAUUUAAAGUGGUACGCGAGCUGGGUUUAGAACGUCGUGAGACAGUUCGGUCCCUAUCUGCCGUGGACGUUUGAGAUUUGAGAGGGGCUGCUCCUAGUACGAGAGGACCGGAGUGGACGAACCUCUGGUGUUCCGGUUGUCACGCCAGUGGCAUUGCCGGGUAGCUAUGUUCGGAAAAGAUAACCGCUGAAAGCAUCUAAGCGGGAAACUUGCCUCAAGAUGAGAUCUCACUGGAACCUUGAGUUCCCUGAAGGGCCGUCGAAGACUACGACGUUGAUAGGUUGGGUGUGUAAGCGCUGUGAGGCGUUGAGCUAACCAAUACUAAUUGCCCGUGAGGCUUGACCAU